This 18-nucleotide unclassified non-coding RNA is filed under the name Chlamydomonas reinhardtii. RNAcentral's name for it is "small RNA Cre_1952". The record is from RNAcentral. Lineage: Eukaryota; Viridiplantae; Chlorophyta; Chlorophyceae; Chlamydomonadales; Chlamydomonadaceae.
GGGUGCGGUGCGGUGGUA